Molecule: ribosomal RNA, 253 nt
Filed under: uncultured bacterium
Lineage: Bacteria
Description: partial 16S ribosomal RNA
Rfam family: Bacterial small subunit ribosomal RNA
Source: RNAcentral
UACAGAGGUCCCGAGCGUUGUUCGGAUUCAUUGGGCGUAAAGGGUGCGUAGGCGGCGGGGAAAGUCUGAUGUGAAAUCCUGGGGCUCAACCCUGGAACUGCAUUGGAUACUUCCUUGCUAGAGUACUGGAGAGAAAACUGGAAUUUACGGUGUAGCAGUGAAAUGCGUAGAGAUCGUAAGGAAGACCAGUGGCGAAGGCGAGUUUCUGGACAGUUACUGACGCUGAGGCACGAAGGCCAGGGGAGCAAACGGG